Molecule: ribosomal RNA, 252 nt
Filed under: uncultured bacterium
Lineage: Bacteria
Description: partial 16S ribosomal RNA
Rfam family: Bacterial small subunit ribosomal RNA
Source: RNAcentral
UACGAGGGGUGCAAGCGUUGCUCGGAAUUAUUGGGCGUAAGGGUAGGUAGGUGGUCUCGUUUGUCUGGGGUGAAAGCCUUGAGCUUAACUCAAGAAGUGCCCUAGAAACGGCGAGACUGGAGUCUUGGAGAGGGUCGUGGAAUUCCCGGUGUAGCGGUGAAAUGCGUAGAGAUCGGGAGGAACACCAGAGGCGAAGGCGGCGACCUGGACAAGUACUGACACUCAACUACGAAAGCGUGGGGAGCAAACAGG